This is a long non-coding RNA of Hydra vulgaris (swiftwater hydra), 450 nucleotides long. RefSeq lists it as uncharacterized. Lineage: Eukaryota; Metazoa; Cnidaria; Hydrozoa; Anthoathecata; Hydridae. The record is from RefSeq and is a predicted model, not a curated record.
UUGUAAAAUUAAAAAAUUUAUAUUGGAACUUCUUUUUCUUUUAACAUUCAUGUUUAUUUAUUUAUACUAUCUUAGAAUUUGCUGCUUUAAAGGCAUGGCAUUUAGUGUCACAUUGUAGGUUUAAAUUGGUUGUAGAAUUUAUAUUGUAACUUGCAUAUUUAUUUAGUUGAGUUUAAUCUAAGUUUAUAUCUGAUGUGUUUGUAUUAUUUUAGAAUUUACUGUUUUAGACACGUGGCAUGUGGUAUCCCACUGAGUUGACAGCAUGGUGUCCUAUUUAAAGUGCGAACAUGUGUACAAGUAACAACAGUAUUCAAAGCCAAAACCUAUUUACCCCAACCAAACCAAAAACUAGCGACCAAAAACUAUCUUGGCAUUGGUUUAUUUUAAACAUCUAUUAUAUAUAUGUGUGUUUUUUAUAUAAAUGUACUAGCUUGAGUAUAGUGUAUUAAA